AUGACGAAGACAAAGGGAAAGAGGAGAGGCACCCGAUAUACGUUCUCUAGGCCUUUUAGAAAACAUGGAGUUGUUCCUUUGGCCACGUAUAUGCGAAUCUAUAAGAAAGGUGUUAUUGUAGACAUCAAGGGAAUGGGCACUGUUCAAAAAGGAAUGCCUCACAAGUGUCACCAUGGUAAAACUGGAAGAGUCUACAAUGUUACCCAGCAUGCUGUUGGCAUUGUUGUAAACAAACAAGUUAAGAGCAAGAUUCUUGCCAAGAGAAUUAAUGUGCGUAUUGAGCACAUUAAGCACUCUGAGAGCUGGGAUAGCUUCCUGAAAUACAUGAAGGAAAAUGAUCAGAAAAAGAAAGAAGCCAAAGAGAAAGGUACCUGGGUUCAACUGAAGUGCCAGCCUGCUCCACCCAGAGAAGCACACUUUGUGAGAACCAAUGAGAAGGAGCCUGAGCUGCUGGAACCUAUUCCGUAUGAACUCAUGGCAUAA
RNAcentral lists this long non-coding RNA (483 nucleotides) under Homo sapiens (human). Its description in RNAcentral is "non-protein coding lnc-PEPD-1:1". The record is from RNAcentral. Lineage: Eukaryota; Metazoa; Chordata; Mammalia; Primates; Hominidae.